GAGUUUGAUCAUGGCUCAGAUUGAACGCUGGCGGCAUGCCUUACACAUGCAAGUCGAACGGCAGCACGGGAGCUUGCUCCUGGUGGCGAGUGGCGAACGGGUGAGUAAUGCAUCGGAACGUAUCCUGGAGUGGGGGAUAACGUAGCGAAAGUUACGCUAAUACCGCAUAUUCUGUGAGCAGGAAAGCGGGGGACCUUCGGGCCUCGCGCUCUUGGAGCGGCCGAUGUCGGAUUAGCUAGUUGGUGAGGUAAAGGCUCACCAAGGCGACGAUCCGUAGCAGGUCUGAGAGGAUGAUCUGCCACACUGGAACUGAGACACGGUCCAGACUCCUACGGGAGGCAGGCAGUGGGGAAUUUUGGACAAUGGGGGCAACCCGUGAUCCAGCCAUGCCGCGUGAGUGAAGAAGGCCUCGG
RNAcentral lists this ribosomal RNA (413 nucleotides) under bacterium enrichment culture clone ALO1_GLFRUDD03FU6ZI. RNAcentral's name for it is "bacterial SSU rRNA". It matches the Rfam family "Bacterial small subunit ribosomal RNA", at positions 9 to 420 of the family's 1533-position model. The record is from RNAcentral.